GGGGAAUUUUCCGCAAUGGGCGAGAGCCUGACGGAGCAACGCCGCGUGAGGGAGGAAGGCCUGUGGGUCGUAAACCUCUUUUCUCAGGGAAGAAGUACUGACGGUACCUGAGGAAUCAGCAUCGGCUAACUCCGUGCCAGCAGCCGCGGUAAGACGGAGGAUGCAAGCGUUAUCCGGAAUUAUUGGGCGUAAAGCGUCCGUAGGUGGUAUAGAAAGUCUGUUGUUAAAUCCCACAGCUCAACUGUGGAUCGGCAAUGGAAACUACUAAACUUGAGUGUGGUAGGGGUAGAGGGAAUUCCUAGUGUAGCGGUGAAAUGCGUAGAUAUUAGGAAGAACACCAGUGGCGAAGGCGCUCUACUGGGCCAUAACUGACACUGAUGGACGAAAGCUAGGGGAGCGAAAGGGAUUAGAUACCCCCUGUAGUC
RNAcentral lists this ribosomal RNA (425 nucleotides) under uncultured cyanobacterium. Its description in RNAcentral is "bacterial SSU rRNA". It matches the Rfam family "Bacterial small subunit ribosomal RNA", at positions 356 to 795 of the family's 1533-position model. Lineage: Bacteria; Bacillati; Cyanobacteriota. The record is from RNAcentral.